Non-coding RNA from Trichomycterus rosablanca, 1151 nucleotides. The record is from the annotation of a RefSeq genome assembly. NCBI's taxonomy places the organism in Eukaryota, Metazoa, Chordata, Actinopteri, Siluriformes, Trichomycteridae.
AUGCUGCCGGCUCUCUGCUCUCUCCUCGCCGCUCUCUCAUGUGUCAGUGGUGUGACCGUGGUGACCCAGAAGCCUCCUGUUUUCACGCCGAAGAAAGGAGAAAAGAUCACCAUGUACUGCAACCUGGGAACUGUUACUGGCAGUGCUGCACGAUGGUACAAGCAGGUUCCAGGAGAAGCUCUUCACUCGUCCCCGCCGCCUCUCCUCCUUCAUCUGCUCCUCGAGCUCCUCGUCUCUUCUCUCAGCACCAGAGUCCCAUCAGACGCCUCCGAGAUGCUGCCGGCUCUCUGUUCUCUCCUCGCCGCUCUCUCAUGUGUCAGUGGUGUGACCGUGGUGACCCAGAAGCCUCCUGUUCUCACGGUGAAGAAAGGAGAAAAGAUCACCAUGUACUGUAACCUGGGAACUGUUACUGACAGUGGUUCUGGGUGGUACAAGCAGGUUCCAGGAGAAGCUCCUCAGUAUUUGUUACAUAAUUAUCAUAGCUGGAGCUCUCCUAGUUAUGGAUCUGGUUUCUCGGCUCCUAAAUUCACAUCCACACACUCGUCCAAGUCUGAUUACACUCUAAUAAUCAAUAACGUGGAGGUUGGAGAUUCUGCAGUGUAUUACUGUAAGACAUGGGACAGCUCUGUUAAAGGGUGGGUAUCACAGUGAUUGAGAUCAUGACAAAAACCUCCUCACUGCUCACCACUCUCACUUCUGCUUUCACACACCAACACAAACAACAAGAAGCUUCACAUCUGGAUCUGAGAGCCCUCAGACCAAUAGAAUGAGCUCGUAACCUCUGCGUGUCUGUGGACUCAGAUCUCAGUUUUAGUAGUCAUGUUACUAAAUCAGCAUUUAAUCACCUUAAGAACAUCAACAAGAUCAGAGAUUUCCUGACUGAACCAGACCUGGAGAAACUCGUCCAGGCUUUUAUUUCCAGUGUGAUUGAUGACUGUCCUGGUCUCCUAACUGGACUCUCCACAAAACCCUUAAACAACUUAACCUUACAGUCAUAAGCAGGAAGUCAUAAAUCCAAACUGAAUCAGACCCGCUGAUGUCAAGCUUGAAAAUAAAGAACGUGCUGGACAGUCAGAUAGCGACACGCUGCAAACGUCCAGUCUAGAGGUGAUGGAAGCACAUACUGGUUUCUCAGCAUCAUGUAUGGGUCG